AAUGGGCGCAAGCCUGAUCCAGCCAUGCCGCGUGAGUGAUGAAGGCCCUAGGGUCGUAAAGCUCCUUCGCCUGUGAAGAUAAUGACGGUAGCAGGUAAAGAAACCCCGGCUAACUCCGUGCCAGCAGCCGCGGUAAUACGGAGGGGGUUAGCGUUGUUCGGAAUUACUGGGCGUAAAGCGCGCGUAGGCGGAUUAGUCAGUCAGAGGUGAAAUCCCAGGGCUCAACCCUGGAACUGCCUUUGAUACUGCUAGUCUUGAGUUCGAGAGAGGUAAGUGGAAUUCCGAGUGUAGAGGUGAAAUUCGUAGAUAUUCGGAGGAACACCAGUGGCGAAGGCGGCUUACUGGCUCGAUACUGACGCUGAGGUGCGAAAGUGUGGGGAGCAAACAGGAUU
Molecule: ribosomal RNA, 392 nt
Filed under: uncultured Gammaproteobacteria bacterium
Lineage: Bacteria; Pseudomonadati; Pseudomonadota; Gammaproteobacteria
Description: bacterial SSU rRNA
Rfam family: Bacterial small subunit ribosomal RNA
Source: RNAcentral